AAGCAAUUAGUUUAAUAAAACAUUUGAUUUCGGCUCAAAAACUUGCAGUUUAAAUCCGCAAUUGCUUU
RNAcentral lists this transfer RNA (68 nucleotides) under Uranoscopus japonicus. RNAcentral's name for it is "tRNA-Arg". It matches the Rfam family "tRNA". Rfam says of the family: Transfer RNA (tRNA) molecules are approximately 80 nucleotides in length. Their secondary structure includes four short double-helical elements and three loops (D, anti-codon, and T loops). Lineage: Eukaryota; Metazoa; Chordata; Actinopteri; Uranoscopiformes; Uranoscopidae. The record is from RNAcentral.